AAUUAUCCAAGAGAAUUGUUUAUAUUAAAAACAGGUGGAGAGUCCUUUGAACCAUGAUUGCCCCAAAAAUUGGAGGAUAAAUAUUAUUUUUGUCAAAACCCUUCUUUGGACAAUCUCGA
Molecule: non-coding RNA, 119 nt
Organism: Pteropus vampyrus (large flying fox)
Lineage: Eukaryota; Metazoa; Chordata; Mammalia; Chiroptera; Pteropodidae
Source: Rfam